GUUGAUAUGGCCGAGUUGGUCUAAGGCGCCAGAUUAAGGCUCUGGUGCGAAAGGGCGUGGGUUCAAAUCCCACUGUGAACA
RNAcentral lists this transfer RNA (81 nucleotides) under Triticum aestivum (bread wheat). It matches the Rfam family "tRNA". From Rfam's summary of the family: Transfer RNA (tRNA) molecules are approximately 80 nucleotides in length. Their secondary structure includes four short double-helical elements and three loops (D, anti-codon, and T loops). The record is from Rfam by way of RNAcentral. Lineage: Eukaryota; Viridiplantae; Streptophyta; Magnoliopsida; Poales; Poaceae. RNAcentral also lists the same sequence under 1 other name.